Molecule: ribosomal RNA, 164 nt
Filed under: uncultured bacterium
Lineage: Bacteria
Description: partial 16S rRNA
Rfam family: Bacterial small subunit ribosomal RNA
Source: RNAcentral
UGGGGAAUCUUCCACAAUGGACGCAAGUCUGAUGGAGCAACGCCGCGUGAGUGAAGAAGGGUUUCGGCUCGUAAAGCUCUGUUGUUAAAGAAGAAUGUGGGUAAGAGUAACUGUUUACCCAGUGACGGUAUUUAACCAGAAAGCCACGGCUAACUACGUGCCAG